CAUUUCCCAUCGGUUUGCAGAGAACAGCAGAUGAACGGUGUGAUCCUCCAGAUUGCUCUUCUUCUCCAGGUGUCCCAGCAUGGGCUGCGCUCCAGCUGCUGAGAUCCGUGCAGGUACAUUGGACGGUCCUGGUCCCAGCAUAAGCCGUUGAGGAACAGGGAAAGGCUUUAGCAGACAUUCCGGUGGAAGAACAGACAGAGACGACAUAAUGCUGCCAGUGCACUGAGAGACUGAGUGGUAGUGGACUUGUUCUGGAUUAGGAGGUGCUUCCCCAAUGGCUGAGAACUGAAAGAUCCAUGACUGUAAACCACCUGGCCUCGCACUAUAGUGAACCUCACCAUACCCCGCAGAAC
This 353-nucleotide long non-coding RNA is filed under the name Danio rerio (zebrafish). RNAcentral describes it as "si:dkey-107h14.8 (ENSDARG00000098676.2)". Lineage: Eukaryota; Metazoa; Chordata; Actinopteri; Cypriniformes; Danionidae. The record is from RNAcentral.